UCAAACUUGGUCAUUUAGAGGAAGUAAAAGUCGUAACAAGGUUUCCGUAGGUGAACCUGCGGAAGGAUCAUUAGAGAAUCAUUGAUACGGGGUGUCUGCCCCGUAUCAACCCACUCUAUUUCACCCCUUGUGAACUGGUUGAUCGGUCGAAGAGUCUUGCACUCGUCGGUCGAGGGUGUGCUGUCAUGGCCACCCGAAUCACCCUUUUUUAUAAAACCAAUAGUGUGUUGAAUGGCACGCCACAUGGCGAUGUUGAAACCACAUACAACUUUCAGCAACGGAUCUCUAGGCUCUCGCAUCGAUGAAGAACGCAGC
This 315-nucleotide unclassified non-coding RNA is filed under the name uncultured fungus. Its description in RNAcentral is "partial contains small subunit ribosomal RNA, internal transcribed spacer 1, and 5.8S ribosomal RNA". The stretch from base 1 to 73 matches the Rfam family "Eukaryotic small subunit ribosomal RNA", at positions 1759 to 1831 of the family's 1831-position model. The record is from RNAcentral. Lineage: Eukaryota; Fungi.